UACGUAGGGUGCGAGCGUUAAUCGGAAUUACUGGGCGUAAAGCGCGCGCAGGCGGUUAUUUAAGUCAGGUGUGAAAGCCCUGGGCUUAACCUAGGAAUUGCGCUUGAGACUGGAUAGCUUGGAGUGCGGCAGAGGGGGAUGGAAUUCCGCGUGUAGCAGUGAAAUGCGUAGAUAUGCGGAGGAACACCGAUGGCGAAGGCAAUCCCCUGGGCCUGCACUGACGCUCAUGCACGAAAGCGUGGGGAGCAAACAGG
This 254-nucleotide ribosomal RNA is filed under the name uncultured bacterium. RNAcentral describes it as "partial 16S ribosomal RNA". It matches the Rfam family "Bacterial small subunit ribosomal RNA", at positions 524 to 776 of the family's 1533-position model. The record is from RNAcentral.